GAUGAACGCUGGCGGCGUGCCUAAUACAUGCGAGUAGAACGCUGAAGGAAGGAGCUUGCUCUUUCCGGAUGAGUUGCGAACGGGUGAGUAACGCGUAGGUAACCUGCCUGGUAGCGGGGGAUAACUAUUGGAAACGAUAGCUAAUACCGCAUAACAGUAGAUGUUGCAUGACAACUAUUUGAAAGGGGCAAUUGCUCCACUACCAGAUGGACCUGCGUUGUAUUAGCUAGUUGGUGAGGUAACGGCUCACCAAGGCGACGAUACAUAGCCGACCUGAGAGGGUGAUCGGCCACACUGGGACUGAGACACGGCCCAGACUCCUACGGGAGGCAGCAGUAGGGAAUCUUCGGCAAUGGACGGAAGUCUGACCGAGCAACGCCGCGUGAGUGAAGAAGGUUUUCGGAUCGUAAAGCUCUGUUGUAAGAGAAGAACGAGUGUGAGAGUGGAAAGUUCACACUGUGACGGUAUCUUACCAGAAAGGGACGGCUAACUACGUG
Molecule: ribosomal RNA, 497 nt
Filed under: uncultured bacterium
Lineage: Bacteria
Description: partial 16S ribosomal RNA
Rfam family: Bacterial small subunit ribosomal RNA
Source: RNAcentral